CCUACGGGAGUCUGCAGUGAGGAAUAUUGGUCAAUGGGCGCGAGCCUGAACCAGCCAAGUAGCGUGAAGGAUGACUGCCCUCCGGGUUGUAAACUUCUUUUAUAGAGGAAUAAAGUGCGGCACGUGUGCCUUUUUGUAUGUACUUUAUGAAUAAGGAUCGGCUAACUCCGUGCCAGCAGCCGCGGUAAUCCGGAGGAUCCGAGCGUUAUCCGGAUUUAUUGGGUUUAAAGGGAGCGUAGAUGGGUUGUUAAGUCAGUUGUGAAAGUUUGCGGCUCAACCGUAAAAUUGCAAUUGAUACUGGCAGCCGUGAGUACAGGUGAGGUAGGCGGAAUUCGUGGUGUAGCGGUGAAAUGCUUAGAUAUCACGAAGAACUCCGAUUGCGAAGGCAGCGUACUAGACUGCCACUGACGUUGAUGCUCGAAAGUGUGGGUAUCAAACAGGAUUAGAUACCCGUGUAGUC
Molecule: ribosomal RNA, 460 nt
Filed under: uncultured bacterium
Lineage: Bacteria
Description: partial 16S ribosomal RNA
Rfam family: Bacterial small subunit ribosomal RNA
Source: RNAcentral